UCUAUAAUCUCUUCUUGUGUGUCUGA
RNAcentral lists this non-coding RNA (26 nucleotides) under Mus musculus (house mouse). Lineage: Eukaryota; Metazoa; Chordata; Mammalia; Rodentia; Muridae. The record is from RNAcentral.